RNAcentral lists this ribosomal RNA (291 nucleotides) under uncultured bacterium. Its description in RNAcentral is "partial 16S ribosomal RNA". It matches the Rfam family "Bacterial small subunit ribosomal RNA", at positions 773 to 1060 of the family's 1533-position model. The record is from RNAcentral.
GUGGAUUAGAUACCCUGGUAGUCCACACUGUAAACGAUGAUAGCUAGGUGUGGGGGGUCUGACCCCUUCCGUGCCGGAGUUAACGCAAUAAGCUAUCCACCUGGGGAGUACGGCCGCAAGGUUGAAACUCAAAGGAAUUGACGGGGGCCCGCACAAGCAGUGGAUUAUGUGGUUUAAUUCGAAGCAACGCGAAGAACCUUACCAGGUCUUGACAUCCAACUAACGAGAUAGAGAUAUGUUAGGUGCCCUUCGGGGAAAGUUGAGACAGGUGGUGCACGGCCGUCGCCAGCU